Molecule: ribosomal RNA, 1474 nt
Filed under: uncultured Bordetella sp.
Lineage: Bacteria; Pseudomonadati; Pseudomonadota; Betaproteobacteria; Burkholderiales; Alcaligenaceae
Description: partial 16S-23S ribosomal RNA intergenic spacer
Rfam family: Bacterial small subunit ribosomal RNA
Source: RNAcentral
UUUGAUUCUGGCUCAGAUUGAACGCUGGCGGGAUGCUUUACACAUGCAAGUCGAACGCUUGGCACGGACUUCGGUCUGGUGGCGGUGGUGAACGGGCGAUGACUAUAUCGAGACGGUGCUGUGUGAGGGAUAACUACGCGAAAGCGUAGCUAAUACCGCAUACGCCCAUCAGGGGAAAGCGGGGGACCUUCGGGCCUCGCACUAUUAGAAACGGCCGAUAUCGGAUUAGCUAGUUGGUGGGGUAACGGCUCACCAGGCAGGCGUCCGUAAACUGGUUUGAGAGGACGACCAGCCACACUGGGACUGAGACGACGAACCCUACGGAGGCAACAGUGGGGAAUUUUGGACAAUGGAAACCUGAUCCAGCCAUCCCGCGUGUGCGAUGAAGGCCUUCGGGUUGUAAAAGCACUUUUGGCAGGAAAAACAGCCUGGAUAAUACCCCGUGCAGCGGCCAGUACCUGCAGAAUAAGCACCGGCUAACUACGUGCCAGCAGCCGCGGUAAUACGUAGGGUGCAAGCGUUAAUCGGAAUUACUGGGCGUAAAGCGUGCGCGGGCGGUUCCGGAAGAAAGAUGUGAAAUCCCAGAGCUUAACUUUGGAACUGCAUUUUUAACUACCGAGCUAGAGUGUGUCAGAGGGAGGUGGAAUUCCGCGUGUAGCAGUGAAAUGCGUAGAUAUACCGGAGGAACACCGAUGGCAGAAGGCGGCCUCACCGGAGUAACACUGACGCUCCUUUUGCGGCGUGGGGAGCAAACAGGAUUAGAUACCCUGGUAGUCCACGCCCUAGCAUUAUACUUCGCUGUUGGGGCCUUCGGGCCUUGGUAGCGCAGCUAACGCGUGAAGUUGACCGCCUGGGGGAGAGUACGGUCGCAAGAUUAAAACUCAAAGGAAUUGACGGGGACCCGCACAAGCGGUGGAUGAUGUGGAUUAAUUCGAUGCAACGCGAAAAACCUUACCUACCCUUGACAUGUCUGGAAUCCCGAAGAGAUUUGGGAGUGCUCGCAAGAGAACCGGAACACAGGUGCUGCAUGGCUGUCGUCAGCUCGUGUCGUGAGAUGUUGGGUUACAGAAUCCCGCAACGAAGCGCAACCCGCUUGUCAUUAGAUUUGCUACGAAGGGCACUCUAAUGAGACUGCCGGUGACAAACCGGAGGAAGGUGGGGAUGACGUCAAGUCCUCAUGGCCCUUAUGGGUAGGGCUUCACACGUCAUACAAUGGUCGGGACAGAGGGUCGCCAACCCGCGAAGGUAAUCCCGACCCGAUCGUAGUCAGGAUGUAGUCUGCAACUCGACUGCGUGAAGUCGAAUCGCUAGUAAUCGCCCGGAUCAGCAUGUCGCGGUGAAUAGAUUCCCGGGUCUUGUACACACCGCCCGUCACACCAUGGGAGUGGGUUUGCAGAAAUAGUUAUGGCCUAACCGUAAGAGGGCGAUUACCACGGUAAGUUCGCGAAGCUGAGGUGAAGUCGUAACAAGGUAG